CUUCCCGAUGAUAAGGCGCCGGGGCCAGGAGGCUUCACUGGAGUGUUUUUCAAGGAAUGUUGGGACAUCAUAAAGCCGGACAUUAUGAGAGUAAUCAACAACUUCUCAACUAUCCACAUCUCCAAUCCACUGGCUCAACUCGGAAAUAUUGCCCUCAUUCCAAAGAAAGAUGGGACGGAGGACAUUUCUGACUUUACGCCCAUAAGUCUCAUCCAUGCGGUUGCGAAGAUCAUUGCAAAUAUGAUGGCCACACGUCUCGGUCCUCACAUGUUUGACCUCUCCAAUACGCAAAGUGCUUUCAUCAAGAAAAGGAGCAUACAUGAUAACUUUAUGUAUGUCCGAAACUUGGCACGUUGAUUUCACCGCAACAAAUCACCGACCUUGCUCUUCAAGCUAGACAUCAAGACAUCGUCCGACUCGGUUAGAUGGGACUACUUGAAGGAUUUAUUGAGACAUCAUCAUUUCUCAAGCCGCUUUGGAGACUGGAUCUCUGCCCUUUUACCCAUGGCCUCGUCCAGAGUUCUCCUAAAUGGGGUGGUGGGGGACCCCAUUUCGCACGGAUGUGGACUUAGGUAG
Molecule: ribosomal RNA, 576 nt
Filed under: Triticum aestivum (bread wheat)
Lineage: Eukaryota; Viridiplantae; Streptophyta; Magnoliopsida; Poales; Poaceae
Description: partial small subunit ribosomal RNA
Source: RNAcentral